CCAGCAUGAGUUAUGUCAUGUUAUCGAUAUGUGAAUACAUAGCAUAUCAGAAGGCACACCCGGAGAACUGAAACAUCUUAGUACCCGGAGGAAGAGAAAGAAAAUUCGAUUCCCUUAGUAGCGGCGAGCGAAACGGGAAGAGCCCAAACCAACAAGCUUGCUUGUUGGGGUUGUAGGACACUCUAUACGGAGUUACAAAGGACGACAUUAGACGAAUCAUCUGGAAAGAUGAAUCAAAGAAGGUAAUAAUCCUGUAGUCGAAAAUGUUGUCUCUCUUGAGUGGAUCCUGAGUACGACGGAGCACGUGAAAUUCCGUCGGAAUCUGGGAGGACCAUCUCCUAAGGCUAAAUACUCUCUAGUGACCGAUAGUGAACCAGUACCGUGAGGGAAAGGUGAAAAGCACCCCGGAAGGGGAGUGAAAUAGAACCUGAAACCGUGUGCUUACAAGUAGUCAGAGCCCGUUAAUGGGUGAUGGCGUGCCUUUUGUAGAAUGAACCGGCGAGUUACGAUUUGAUGCAAGGUUAAGCAGUAAAUGUGGAGCCGUAGCGAAAGCGAGUCUGAAUAGGGCGUUUAGUAUUUGGUCGUAGACCCGAAACCAGGUGAUCUACCCUUGGUCAGGUUGAAGUUCAGGUAACACUGAAUGGAGGACCGAACCGACUUACGUUGAAAAGUGAGCGGAUGAACUGAGGGUAGCGGAGAAAUUCCAAUCGAACCUGGAGAUAGCUGGUUCUCUCCGAAAUAGCUUUAGGGCUAGCCUCAAGUGAUGAUUAUUGGAGGUAGAGCACUGUUUGGACGAGGGGCCCCUCUCGGGUUACCGAAUUCAGACAAACUCCGAAUGCCAAUUAAUUUAACUUGGGAGUCAGAACAUGGGUGAUAAGGUCCGUGUUCGAAAGGGAAACAGCCCAUACCACCAGCUAAGGUCCCAAAAUAUAUGUUAAGUGGAAAAGGAUGUGGCGUUGCCCAGACAACUAGGAUGUUGGCUUAGAAGCAGCCAUCAUUUAAAGAGUGCGUAAUAGCUCACUAGUCGAGUGACACUGCGCCGAAAAUGUACCGGGGCUAAACAUAUUACCGAAGCUGUGGAUUGUCCUUUGGACAAUGGUAGGAGAGCGUUCUAAGGGCGUUGAAGCAUGAUCGUAAGGACAUGUGGAGCGCUUAGAAGUGAGAAUGCCGGUGUGAGUAGCGAAAGACGGGUGAGAAUCCCGUCCACCGAUUGACUAAGGUUUCCAGAGGAAGGCUCGUCCGCUCUGGGUUAGUCGGGUCCUAAGCUGAGGCCGACAGGCGUAGGCGAUGGAUAACAGGUUGAUAUUCCUGUACCACCUAUAAUCGUUUUAAUCGAUGGGGGGACGCAGUAGGAUAGGCGAAGCGUGCGAUUGGAUUGCACGUCUAAGCAGUAAGGCUGAGUAUUAGGCAAAUCCGGUACUCGUUAAGGCUGAGCUGUGAUGGGGAGAAGACAUUGUGUCUUCGAGUCGUUGAUUUCACACUGCCGAGAAAAGCCUCUAGAUAGAAAAUAGGUGCCCGUACCGCAAACCGACACAGGUAGUCAAGAUGAGAAUUCUAAGGUGAGCGAGCGAACUCUCGUUAAGGAACUCGGCAAAAUGACCCCGUAACUUCGGGAGAAGGGGUGCUCUUUAGGGUUAACGCCCAGAAGAGCCGCAGUGAAUAGGCCCAAGCGACUGUUUAUCAAAAACACAGGUCUCUGCUAAACCGUAAGGUGAUGUAUAGGGGCUGACGCCUGCCCGGUGCUGGAAGGUUAAGAGGAGUGGUUAGCUUCUGCGAAGCUACGAAUCGAAGCCCCAGUAAACGGCGGCCGUAACUAUAACGGUCCUAAGGUAGCGAAAUUCCUUGUCGGGUAAGUUCCGACCCGCACGAAAGGCGUAACGAUUUGGGCACUGUCUCAACGAGAGACUCGGUGAAAUCAUAGUACCUGUGAAGAUGCAGGUUACCCGCGACAGGACGGAAAGACCCCGUGGAGCUUUACUGUAGCCUGAUAUUGAAAUUCGGCACAGCUUGUACAGGAUAGGUAGGAGCCUUUGAAACGUGAGCGCUAGCUUACGUGGAGGCGCUGGUGGGAUACUACCCUAGCUGUGUUGGCUUUCUAACCCGCACCACUUAUCGUGGUGGGAGACAGUGUCAGGCGGGCAGUUUGACUGGGGCGGUCGCCUCCUAAAAGGUAACGGAGGCGCUCAAAGGUUCCCUCAGAAUGGUUGGAAAUCAUUCAUAGAGUGUAAAGGCAUAAGGGAGCUUGACUGCGAGACCUACAAGUCGAGCAGGGUCGAAAGACGGACUUAGUGAUCCGGUGGUUCCGCAUGGAAGGGCCAUCGCUCAACGGAUAAAAGCUACCCCGGGGAUAACAGGCUUAUCUCCCCCAAGAGUUCACAUCGACGGGGAGGUUUGGCACCUCGAUGUCGGCUCAUCGCAUCCUGGGGCUGUAGUCGGUCCCAAGGGUUGGGCUGUUCGCCCAUUAAAGCGGUACGCGAGCUGGGUUCAGAACGUCGUGAGACAGUUCGGUCCCUAUCCGUCGUGGGCGUAGGAAAUUUGAGAGGAGCUGUCCUUAGUACGAGAGGACCGGGAUGGACAUACCUCUGGUGUACCAGUUGUCGUGCCAACGGCAUAGCUGGGUAGCUAUGUGUGGACGGGAUAAGUGCUGAAAGCAUCUAAGCAUGAAGCCCCCCUCAAGAUGAGAUUUCCCAACUUCGGUUAUAAGAUCCCUCAAAGAUGAUGAGGUUAAUAGGUUCGAGGUGGAAGCAUGGUGACAUGUGGAGCUGACGAAUACUAAUCGAUCGAAGACUUAAUCAA
Molecule: ribosomal RNA, 2796 nt
Filed under: Staphylococcus aureus F60357
Lineage: Bacteria; Bacillati; Bacillota; Bacilli; Caryophanales; Staphylococcaceae
Description: bacterial LSU rRNA
Rfam family: Bacterial large subunit ribosomal RNA
Source: RNAcentral